GAUGAACGCUGGCGGCGUGCCUAAUACAUGCAAGUCGAGCGAACGGACGAGAAGCUUGCUUCUCUGAUGUUAGCGGCGGACGGGUGAGUAACACGUGGAUAACCUACCUAUAAGACUGGGAUAACUUCGGGAAACCGGAGCUAAUACCGGAUAAUAUUUUGAACCGCAUGGUUCAAAAGUGAAAGACGGUCUUGCUGUCACUUAUAGAUGGAUCCGCGCUGCAUUAGCUAGUUGGUAAGGUAACGGCUUACCAAGGCAACGAUGCAUAGCCGACCUGAGAGGGUGAUCGGCCACACUGGAACUGAGACACGAUCCUGACUCCUACGGGAGGCAGCAGUAGGGAAUCUUCCGCAAUGGGCGAAAGCCUGACGGAGCAACGCCGCGUGAGUGAUGAAGGUCUUCGGAUCGUAAAACUCUGUUAUUAGUGAAGAACAUAUGUGUAAGUAACUGUGCACAUCUUGACGGUACCUAAUCAGAAAGCCACGGCUAACUACGUG
Molecule: ribosomal RNA, 497 nt
Filed under: uncultured bacterium
Lineage: Bacteria
Description: partial 16S ribosomal RNA
Rfam family: Bacterial small subunit ribosomal RNA
Source: RNAcentral